GAAGGGUGGUGGGAAUGGGUGAUUGGCUGAUAGGUGUGGUAGACCUGUUGACAACAGUUUACCACACCUAUCAGCCAAUCACCCAUUCCCACCACCCUUCUGAGUAAUAC
Non-coding RNA from Podarcis lilfordi (Lilford's wall lizard), 110 nucleotides. The record is from the annotation of a GenBank genome assembly. Lineage: Eukaryota; Metazoa; Chordata; Lepidosauria; Squamata; Lacertidae.